This 297-nucleotide long non-coding RNA is filed under the name Gossypium barbadense (sea-island cotton). RNAcentral's name for it is "long non-coding RNA (GBAR_LNC023036)". Lineage: Eukaryota; Viridiplantae; Streptophyta; Magnoliopsida; Malvales; Malvaceae. The record is from RNAcentral.
UGAAUCCGAGUCGUUGUUGUGCCCGAUCGUGAAUUGGAGUAAUUUGAAAGCUUUACAAAAUAGGCUAGAAGAAAAGGAAUUAUUUAGGCUCAAUAAAGUUUUGUUGGUUUAGGAAAUGAAACAUAAAUCAAUGGAUGAAGUUUGGGCUAAGUAUUCAAAAGCUGAACUAACACAAUAAGAGUGUGUUAACCCGUAACUUAGGAGAAUGCUUAGGUUGGUAGGGUGUUGAUGGAAGGUUUGUUAAGUGGAUAGAAACUUCGACCCGCUAUCAAAAAUGAUAGGAACCUCAGUACGAAU